This is a long non-coding RNA of Cygnus atratus (black swan), 3216 nucleotides long. RefSeq lists it as uncharacterized. The record is from RefSeq and is a predicted model, not a curated record. NCBI's taxonomy places the organism in Eukaryota, Metazoa, Chordata, Aves, Anseriformes, Anatidae. The transcript has 3 exons.
GGGCUCUGCCCCGAGGCAGGGCUGCCGAAAGGCGAUUUACCUGCGGGCAGGCACCCCCGAGCCUGAGCUGGGGGGCAGCCGUCAGAAAAAGCCGUUUUCGGCUCAUUGAAGCACGGUGAUGGAGAAUGCAUCCAGAGCAUGUAACAAGGAUGCUGCGGGAGCAUCCACAUGCAGCGCUGGGUGAGAGAGGUCAGAGCUGCCCCCGGACCCGGCUGAAUCACACAGUAACUCCUGCAGAAAAAUGCACCAGCCACACACACCUCUCCCAGCUGUUUUCACAGCAGUAUGAUCCAAGGCAAUGCAGCCCUGCAAUAUAUCUGAGCUGAUCUUGAGCACAGGCAGCUGUGGGAAGAGGCUGCGGAGCCAGUUGGUGCAGUUAACCUUGACAAAAUGUAAUCAAGACAAUCAAGUUUCUUUCUGCAAGCUCUUGAGAAAUUCAGCGAGCUUGUACGGAUAUCCAGAACUUCUAAGGCUCUUCCACGUGGAGCAGGGCUCUUCCCUUCAGACUGCCUGGCAGUUUGUACCUUGAUGCAAAACAGCUGUUGGCUAUAAAGCCAUGAGAUGUGGUGACAGCUUUCUUAGCUGUAGGCUUGCCAAAAGAAAACGUACCUAAAAUACAGCUAAACUGGAAUCUCAAAAAUAGCUCAUGUUCAUGUUCUGCAAAGGGCAGUCCUGGUCCUGUCUGCCUCUGCAACAGCCGAUGCCAUUUCAGAAGUAAACUAUGAUUAUGUGAAGGCUUAAUCUUGUGCAAAAAAAGACUGAGUAACCAAAGGCUUGCUCUCAAGAGGACAAGAAAGCAGGGAGAUAGCGGCAAAUGUUCCUGUGAGUUUUGUUGUGUUUUGUCAGCCCUUUGUUUAUUGGUCUUUUGACUACAAAGUAGAGGAUGAUGCUCAGAAGAUACACUAUGUGCCCACUGCAGUUCUGGAGAAGUGAAAAGCUUUUCAAAAGGGGAAUAACAAUUCCUUAGAGACUCCAUUACGAGAAAUGGAAAUGAGGAGUAUUCACCAAAGGACAGAUUUCAAUGAAUAUGGAUGUUGUGUUCUGUCUGCCACCCCCCAGCAUGUGCUGUGGUAAAGAAAAAGAACUCUGCUUCUUCUCGAGUUGGAGUACCACGAGUCUGGCAAGUCUCCUACAACGUCCUGGGAUCAUCAGCCUUACUCAGAAAGUGCUGAAUGAUACAAAGAAAUGCUUUACAGGAGGCUCAGGUUAAUUUUUAUUCCAGUUUACUGUUAAUCCAUGGUACUUCAGAAGAUGCAGCUUGAUUGGCUAUAAACUUAUUCACACGGAACAAACAUUCCUGAAAAAUGAUUAUUAGACAAGUUGAAAAAAACAUGUCCAUCUCUGGCCCCAAAUGCAUUUGAAAAGGAGGGACUGCAGUGAUGUUGCGUCAGCUGCAGGAGCGGUGGAUUUCUGCUGAAACUACUCAGGAAUCUGGGAGAUCCAGCUAGCUGCAUUGCACAAUCCAAGCUGAGGUUUUGUGGUAAAACCCAUGGCUGCACUGAUGAGGAGGGUAGGAACUCUGAAAACUUACUUGAUCUUGACAGCAACUGGUCUAAACAAUGGGUUUAAAUUACCCUCUGCUGUUGAAGUGGCUAAGAGGGCCUGCUGAAUUCAACAACUAUUUUCUGCUUUCCUUCUUACAGCUAAGAUUAUUGGGGGACUAGAUUAUUUGGGUAGAUUAUUUGCUGUAAAAAACAGCUGAUCUACUCACCUCUGUGAUCUUUUGCCUGCUACACUGUCCUCUGCUCCGGGCUAACACCUUUAUCUAAUGUAAAAACAAAAUUGGUAAAUAUCUGAUCAUCAGAUAGUUUUCAAAGGCUUCUUUGGUUAUGCCCACCCUGAUGUGACCUCCUCUGCUAACUGUAACUCCUCUUCUAAACUGUUCCCCAAAACAGUGAGCUGGAGUUCACAGCCUCAGGGCCGGCAGAUGUAACUCUUUGAAAGGCACAGCUGGAGUAAGCGCAGUAACUACAUCUACACAAGAUGUGCUCCAAGACGUAUUGUGGGGUGUAAAAUAUCACCCUAUCCUAGACUUUCCUAGACUUGAAUUUCCACUGCAGAACCUCAGCUGUAGAAGGCUGUUCAGUUGUAGGAGGUUGUUUUAGCAAUGAGCCACUUCAUGUGAUAGGCAUAUUUAAAAACUUUUCCUUCCUUCUGGGCAUCUUUUUAGGCUUUUUUCCUUUAGUGUAAAAGGUUUUAAAUGUCUUAAACUUCACCUCCCGUUCUGUCUCCCAGACCGAGGCUAGGCUUAAUUAUAAAUGCAGUAUUUAUCACUGUUAGUAGGUACUUAAAACCAGGGCUGUAGGUGCAGCGCAGUUGUACCUCUGGUAAGUCACCACUGCUGCAUACCCUUUCAAAAUAAGCAGCUCCUUUCUGCUGAGAGUGCAGUGAGAUGGUGCUUAGGGCAGGACAGCUAGUUGUCAUAUGGAGGCUUUGCUCUGUUCUUUGUUUUCUUGAAAUCACGAGCUACCCCUCUAAAAAUCCCCAGGUCUGUUUUUUUUUUAUACGUAUAUAUAAACAGCAAAGCCUGCAAAGCAAAAGCCAUUGACACUUUUGCACACACAAAGCUGCUGUAACAUUUGUUAGGAAUGUGCAAAACCACAAUGUUUUCCAUCAAGUCAGUGCCCUGUUCAGCACUUAGUUCCCUCUCUAUUGCUCUGCACAUACAAGUCAUUUCAAUAUUUAAAUUAUUUUAAAAGCGAUCAUUUCAAGUUAAGGAUCUUACAUUGUUCUGGCAGUGAGAACUCAUCUGUCAGUCGUGUGCAAUCGUCCAAGCCUAUUUCCUUUCAUGAUUUUUAAGCUCGGAUAAUUGCAUGGUUUCAAAGCAACACCUUCUGGCAAGCCGCGGUAUUGCUUGUGCCAGCAGACCUUCCUCUUGGAUUUACUUGGGACAAAACAGCGACAGCACAGCGGCCUUCAGAGAUGGUCCCUGGUUGCUUAGCGAGCGCAAUGCAGUGUGAUUGACUUGAUUACUACGGCUUCCACUGGCAGAGAAGUAAACGUGGGGAGCGUUUUCCAGAUUUUUUUGGGCGAGCAAACAUAAGCACUUAGUGUUGUCACACAGAUAUAAUUGUCUUUUUCGUUUGUUUAUACUACACAGGCUAGUUUAGAGGGAAUAAUAUCACCCAAAACAAUACAGGACUUCAUUCAAAAAACUGAAGUCCAUGAACAAACGAUGCUUGCUAUCAUCCCUGUAUAUUAAUUCGGACAUUAGUG